UGAGACGUUCGCGUUUCUGUCGCUGAUUGUCAUCGUCAUCAUCUUCCUCGCAGAUUUGGUGCCGAAGGCAUUCAGCCCCUUCGGGAGGAGUCUGGCUGUCUCGGCUGCCGACGUUUGGGAGAGGAACAAGGACCUGCUGGCUCGCGAUGCCUCUGGACGCGCUGGCCGCUCUUUAGAACCUGUUAUUGAAGUCCUGGAUUCCCUGGCAAAGGCUGCAAGGAAGUGGGAGGAGCCACAAGAAAAGGUCGCAACACAUCGAUCAUCGUAGGAUUAAAAAUAAGAAAAAGAAAAAACUGAAGAAAAUGAAAAACGAACUUUCCCACCGAAGAUAUAUAUAAAUCUUGCUUUUUACUCCCGCGUCUCUUUUCUCUAAGCCCGUAUAUGUUUCCGUGGAUGUUUUAUAUAUAGUUAACAAAAUUGUUAUCAUUUUAUUUUUGUAUUAAUGCUUAUACCUUUGGCGUUCCAGUGUAGGCCAAUUUGUGUACGUGUAUUUUUUUUAAAUCUUCCAAAGCUUUCUUAUUCAACUCCAUGUCAGAUUAUUUUUGUUUGUACAAAGUCCAUUGUUAUGCAAGUUUUUGCGUUGUAGGAUCUAUGCAAACGAAUUUUCGUUUGCAUGACAGAUUUCUGUGCCCUGCAAACUAAAUGUAUUCCCUAGCCGAACAAUGUUUCAGUUUCUCAGGGUUACAAUAAGAUGAAAUCCUAAGAA
This is a long non-coding RNA of Macrobrachium nipponense, 706 nucleotides long. RefSeq lists it as uncharacterized. The transcript is spliced from 2 exons. Lineage: Eukaryota; Metazoa; Arthropoda; Malacostraca; Decapoda; Palaemonidae. The record is from RefSeq and is a predicted model, not a curated record.